Molecule: unclassified non-coding RNA, 1400 nt
Filed under: Hevea brasiliensis (rubber tree)
Lineage: Eukaryota; Viridiplantae; Streptophyta; Magnoliopsida; Malpighiales; Euphorbiaceae
Source: RNAcentral
AUACAAUAUAUUGGAGGACUGAAAAAUACUAUUUUCUUAGACAUAAAUUUUUAUUUUUUCUAUGUUUGUCGGAGUUGAGAUCAAUUAUUUUAUAUGAAAGGAGCAUAUAUUUUAGGAUAAUAAAUAUGCGUAGCUGAGAUAUCAAUUCAUGCACUUCAAUCUAUAUCUUUUCUUUCGAGGUAGCCUUUUUAAGGUAGCUUCAAGCUACUCUAUAUCUAAUUUGUUGAAGGAAUAAUAAUGGAGUUCUUCGUAAUAUUGGACUUGAAGAGUUCUUCAAAAUCUGGUGUCACGUUAAGAGAAACUUGUGAAACUAUAGGAGAAAGGGCAUUCCACACUGAAUUCUUAGUCGCAAGCUCCUCAAUAAAUGGCCAUGUAGAAGUUAAGGUGGAGACAAACUCCAUCCCUUCACUGCCAGCAACUACAGCAACAGCAAAGAAUUUUGGCACCAGAAACAUUUGGCCAGCUUUUAUGUUGGUGUCCAAGACUCGCUUACCAUUGAUACCCACAAUUUGUACUUGUCCAUUCCCUUUAACAAUAUAAACAAGUCGACUUGCUCCAUUGGCAGUGUAAGUGGGUGAGUACAUGGCACUGGCAUCUAAUUUCACAUAGCUGACACUUAAUCCUGCUUGCUCAAGAAGGGGCAAUUUUGAUGAUGUUAGUGUCUUAAAAACACCACCCUUUUGGACAUCAACGUCAGCUGAUGCUGCGUCGAUGUUAUACACCAUUUUGUCCCGAAAGUCGUUAUGAGGUUGGGGCAUGAUUAUUCCUUCCUCUAUCUUGAUAAUCAACACGCCAGUUUGGCUUUUAGCGAGUUUGUUUGCUUCUUCUUGAUUCUUGAGAUUGUAGGCUCGACUGGUAAAUUCAGAUGAGAAUCCUGCCAUAACACCUAUGCCUCCAGAUAACAAGAAGUAGGUGAAUUCUCCAGGAAUAUAAGACUUGGAAGUUUCUCCCAACAAAACCACAACAAAUUUUGAAUCUCCAUUAUUAUACCACCAUGAGAGAGUUCCCAGAGGCACAGGUAUGAUAUCUCCUUUCUUAAGCUUUAAUACUACCUCUUUUGCAGAAUUAGGAAGCACCACUCCCACUAUUCCUUCUGUACCUUCAAGAACAUAACCAAUUUUGGAGGAAUCUGUAUAGUGGGGAAAAGCAAAACCACGGGGCUGGAGAAGAAGCUUUCCUCCUCCAACCUUUGCCACAGCUAAUUCAGAACUUGACCAAGCCUUGUAUGAUCCACCUUCUCCUUCAAAUAAUGUCUUUUGUGGGAACUUUGGUGACAAAUCCAAAUCCAUGGCUAACACUAUCCCUUUCUUCAAUAAUCACUUAGAGAGAAAAGAAGAAACAAUUGAUUGGUAGUUUAUAACUAAAUUAGAUAUGAAGCAGUAGAGAUUAGAGGGCAGAGA